GGCUGCACCUCUUCCCAUUUAAGGGCUGCCUGCUCCUGGGGAGGAUCUUUUUCUGGAGAUCUCUCCUCUGUGGAGUCUUUCAUGUGAACCUAGAUCUUUGGAUACAGGAUAUCUUUUAUGCUUUCUUUUUUUCUUCCUUCCCUUUGGAAGUCCAAGUGUUUAUUUGCAUGCAAGCAAUAGACAUGAUGAACCAUCUUAACUUGCGAAGAUGAUCUGCAGACUCUUUGUUUUCCUUUCGUACAUCCACAAUAAAGCUCUUGGCGUAAGAACUACUAUCAAGAAGCAUAGCAGCUUCCACAGCUAUGGGAAUGGUGCUGUGCUUGUGAAAGGGUUUGCAGAAGACAGAGGACCCACUUCACUUAACACUAUUAACCUUUGGGAGAGGAGUGAAAACUGGGGCAGGCUGACAAGCCAUGCAUUUUCUGAUCUUUUUCCCCCUUUUUCCUGGCAAAUAGCUGUAUAUAAGCAUCCUGUACGUAGUGAUUAGUGACUCACUAGGGCAUCACAUAUUGCACUGUAUUGGCAUUAAGUGUGUAACCCUCUAAAACCUAGUAAUGAGAGAGCAGGUGCAAUUGGAUCUGUGUUAAUAAUGUCUGUAAGAGUCUGGAAUGGAGUCCUUUGUGUGUAUCUUCUCCUUUAAAUCUUGUGUUUGCUGGUAAAUAUUGAUUUCAGCUAAUGGUGGUUUUAACUUCUAUGUGCAUGUUCUGUGCCCCAAGGGACCAUGUCCCAAACAGGGAGAAGCCAAGACUUGCUUAUAAGGAAAAAACAGAUCAAAUACAUUUUUUCCUUUAAAACA
This is a non-coding RNA of Phasianus colchicus (ring-necked pheasant), 796 nucleotides long. NCBI's taxonomy places the organism in Eukaryota, Metazoa, Chordata, Aves, Galliformes, Phasianidae. The record is from RefSeq and is a predicted model, not a curated record.